GCAAAACAAAUAGCAGCAGAAUAUGUGUUAAUACAACUAGGUAUUUCAUUAGAUGGUAUGGAGACGACUGUUGUAUCAACGUCAAUACAAGUCCCAUCCCUUAGUGGGUCCAGUGUACCUGUUUUAGCUGCUGUUACUGCUACGUAUCUACCAUCUGGACAGUUUGGGCCCAUUCCAUCCAAUGCAACAGCUUACGAGCAAGGCUAUUAUGAAACAGCUGCACCACCGCCACCGCCACCACCUCCUCCUGCCCAAGUCCAGAUGUAUUAAAUAGAAAGACAUUUAACUUCCAUAUAAUGGCCAAGUAUUAUUUUAGCCAAAUUUAUAAACUGUUUCGUAUCUGCAGGCUCUAAUUCCAACUUAUAUUUUAUUAAAAAAUGAAAUAGACAUAUUGGAUAAUUUAAGAAUUUUUUUUUUUAAUAAGAUGGAUAUAUUAUUAUUUUAUAUGGUC
RNAcentral lists this long non-coding RNA (451 nucleotides) under Androctonus crassicauda. Lineage: Eukaryota; Metazoa; Arthropoda; Arachnida; Scorpiones; Buthidae. The record is from RNAcentral.